RNAcentral lists this ribosomal RNA (959 nucleotides) under uncultured archaeon. RNAcentral's name for it is "bacterial SSU rRNA". It matches the Rfam family "Archaeal small subunit ribosomal RNA", at positions 6 to 922 of the family's 1478-position model. The record is from RNAcentral.
GGUUGAUCCUGCCGGAUCCGACUGCUAUUUGGGUGGGAAUAAGCCAUGCAAGUUGUAUGGAAUACCUAAAUUUUCCAUAGCACACUGCUUAGUAACACAUGAUCAACUUACCCUAUGGAGAAAAAUAACCUCGGGAAAGUAUCAUAUAGCGUAUGACACCCCGAAACUGAGGAUAAUGUUUCAUAGUUGAAAAGGCUUGGAAAAGUUUUUCGACGAAAGGGAUAAGAUGAAUGGAUCUUAUUUGCCAUAGGAUAGGAUCGUGGUCGAUUAUGGUAGUUGGUGAGGUAACGGCUCACCAAGCCGAUAAUCGAUAGGGGCCGUGAGAGCGGGAGCCCCAAGAUGGGUACUGAGACAACGACCCAGGCCUUACGAGGCGCAGCAGGCGCGAAACCUCCGCAAUACACGAAAGUGUGACGGGGCCACCCAAAGUGUUCUCUUCAGAACUGUAGUAGGUGAGUAAUAUCCCCUAUUAGAAAGGAGAGGGCAAGGCUGGUGCCAGCCGCCACGGUAAAACCAGCUCUUCAAGUGGUCGGGAUAAUUAUUUGGCUUAAAGUGUCCGUAGCCGGUUUAGCAAGUUCCUGGUGAAAUCGGGUAGCUUAACUAUUCGCAUGCUAGGGAUACUGCUAUACUAGAGGGCGGGAGAAGUCUGAGGUACUACAGGGGUAGGGGUGAAAUCUUAUAAUCCCUGUAGGACCACCAGUGGCGAAGGCGUCAGACUGGAACGCGCCUGACGGUGAGGGACGAAAGCCAGGGGAGCGAACCGGAUUAGAUACCCGGGUAGUCCUGGCCGUAAACGAUGCAUACUAGGUGAUGGCACGGCCAUGAGCCGUGUCAGUGCCGUAGGGAAACCGUUAAGUGUGCCGCCUGGGAAGUACGGUCGCAAGGCUGAAACUUGAAGGAAUUGGCGGGGGAGCACCACAAGGGGUGAAGCCUGCGGUUCAAUUGGAKUCAACGCCGGR